Gallus gallus (chicken) is the source of this 2865-nucleotide long non-coding RNA. The record is from Ensembl. Lineage: Eukaryota; Metazoa; Chordata; Aves; Galliformes; Phasianidae.
GUUUUAUUUGAAGAAAUGAUUAGAGUUUAUUUUAUUGCCAGGAAAGGCUGCCAGCCUUUAUGAUGACAAAAUUGCUGAGUUUACUAGGAAGUUUAUUUAUAUAGGCCUUGAAAGACAGACUCUCCCAUGACAGACACCAGCGAAGACCUGGGUUUGCUGGGUCUCCUGUUUCCCCUAACUGUUCUGCUGACAUGUUAACCCUUUGCUCUGACAGAUUCCUGAGAAAUGAGCAAUUAAGAGCAAAAAUCUGUACAAGAUACCCCUUCCUUGUGGGGAAACUGGGUAUUCAAGGAACUCUGGGCUGGAAACCUGAAGGAACAAACGGGUUGGCAGACGUUUAUUGCUGGUACUGUGGGCCACCCCCAGCUAUGGCUAACAUAACCACAGGGAUAGCAGACAUCUUCCCAGGAGGAGAUGGUUUUAGAGUGAUCUACCACGUCCUGCCAUGCAUGUCAACUCUGGGACAAGUGAUGCCAUUAGAAGUCCUCUCAUCUCCCACUGAUGCCCCUGUUGCAGCAAUGGAAUCACCAGAAGAUCUCCCACCACCAAAAAAAACCCACAUUUUGGGGAGGGCAGAAUUGUGAUGAAUUUAAGACUCGGCAAGACAAUGAGUUUUAGGGUAAGAAAUACGUGUUUAAAUUUUCUUAGGUGUCAAAAUGCUCUGCUUUGACACAUUAAAAACGAAAAGGUUUCGUUUGGAAAAUUUCCAAGUGUGUCAUUUCAUCGUUAAUAUUCAUUCACUAAUAUUAUUUUCUUCUAUAAAGUGGACUGACCUGGGAAGGUAUCCAAAACAGACCAGAAUGAAUUAAAUAAGAAGAUUCGUAUUUCACCUUCAUUCCUGGUGCUUGUUUUGUUUUAGAGAAAAAGAAAUGCCCCCAGUUCUGCUCCAGCUCUGAUCUAACUUUCUUCCACAUGUUCAUCAAACAAGAGAGAUCAACCCUCUUCCCUCAUCACAGUCUUCAACCAGCACCUCAGUUCUACUGCUUGGCCUGGAAAAGCCUUUUAUCAGGCAGUGACGAUGGCAGGCAGUUAUCCUCUAUGGACGAAUGACAGAAGAGGAUCCUAAACAUAAUUUACAAACAGCCAUGUAGACAGGAGUGAGGGAGGACAGAGAACCCAAAGCUUUGGGAUGAGCUUGUGCCAUACCUUGGGCUCAGCAGCACCUGUGGAUUCCCGUGGGGGAGGACCAAGGCAGCAUCAUCACCUUGCCUCCUGCACACCAUUAGACUCCCUGGAGAAAUGAAACCGUGUGCUUUUGCCUAUUAGCAGAGAAGUCUGGACUACGUGGUUGUGAUACACAAAUCUAACUGUCUCAGGAAAUAAAGGGCUGUUUCUUUGGAGUAAAAUUGUCAGUCAGUGUCAAAUGUAGCCUAGGCAUCCUAAUGGUCAGAGAUGGAUGGAGAUGAGGCCCAGCUGUAAGAAGUGUAGGCCUGAUAACCCUCCUGAUGUUUGGGGAUGGCUGUGACAAAUAUCACCCUUCACCCCUACCUGCUUUCUACAUCCCCAGGCAUAUCCCAUGUAGCAGCCAUAUGUCCCAGCAUGUGUCACUGCCAAUAAUGCCUUCUUUUUUUAACAAUUCCAUCCACUGAAAAAUCUGAGUGGAGGAAGACAAUGGUGUUAAUUCAUUCGUUGGGAAAAACUCUUGGCCCCAAAGGGUUAAAAUGUCGAAGGGAUGUUUGCAAGCUCAUGUCUGCAUUGUGCCAUCUUCAGAGAAUCUGGCUCAAUAUCUGUUCCUUCACUCUAGCACUAAUGGAGCUUUGUAGCAGGUAAAACUGAGCCCAAUUUCCUCAAUCUUCUGUUAGUGUUACUGAAAAAACAUCCUUAAAUUAGGUCCCAAAUUCCUGUGAUCCUCACAGUGCUGAGCGUGGAUGAAUAACUUUUGAUAACAGCCCUGGAUUUAGUGGUGUGGCGAGAUUUAUUUCCUGAUCUUUUGCCCAUCAAAUCUUUUUCUGAUCUUAAUUGUCAAUCACAUCAUAUGAUUUCUCCAGAGAAAUGAAAAUAGCAGCUAUUUGUCUUGAAAAUCCACCCUUUGAUGUAAGAAUUCCAGGAAAUAAAACACCUUUAUAGUUAUGGGAUCCAGACCUGUCUGACUGGGAUGCAUUUCCAUCAAGACUUGUGUGGGUUUGUUGACUGGAUUUUUAAGACAUUCUGCGUCUUUUAUGGGGAUUUGCAAUGGGGCAUUCAUGGCACAUUCAUUUUUGUGAGGAAUAAAACAGCCUGGGUCAUAUGCCUUAGGGAUCCCUUGUCCAGUGUGCCAGCCCUCCUGGACCAGUGUGGGCUUCCAAGGCAGUGCUCCCCAGCCUGCACAAGUCCAGCCCUUGCUGUGAUGCUGAAAUGAGGUCCUGGAUUUUCAGGCCUGCUUCCAUGUUGGCUAUUUCCCUUAGGGCCCAUUAGGGACAUCUUCCAACAGAUGACACACAGCUGCCAAGUGAAGAUAUAUCAGUGUUCUGCUUUGAAGGUCAAACCUUGCCCAGCCUCUGCUUACAGGUUGGCACAACAUGAGGUCACUGCACUGUCCUCCAUCCAGAUCAAGGAUUAGCCAAUGCACAUCUCCAUCUGGUGAAGUUAUUUCCAGUUUUACUUAUCAAUUCUGUUGGUAAAGAUAGAGGAAGUGAGGAAAUUUAUUUAGAAAAAGUAGUCAUAUCAGCCUUGUUACGUGUCCACCAGCCUUAGGGAGUCCUUUAUAUUUUAGCUGUGCACUGUGGGAUUAAGAUGUGUGUUAUGAACCUAGAAGACCAAUAGGUCUUUCUCAUGGGAACCUCUUCCCAACCAUGCUGGUUGGAUAGGAGGGUCUGCAACAGUACAGACAUGUAGGUAUCUGUGUACGGACACUGUGAUGCUUCAAACGUCCCAGCAAAGAUGAAU